RNAcentral lists this ribosomal RNA (3018 nucleotides) under Cylisticus convexus. RNAcentral's name for it is "18S ribosomal RNA". It matches the Rfam family "Eukaryotic small subunit ribosomal RNA". Lineage: Eukaryota; Metazoa; Arthropoda; Malacostraca; Isopoda; Cylisticidae. The record is from RNAcentral.
AACCUGGUUGAUCCUGCCAGUAGUCAUAUGCUUGUCUCAAAGAUUAAGCCAUGCAUGUCUCAGUACCUGCCGACCUAAGGCGAAACCGCGAAUGGCUCAUUAAAUCAGUCAUGAUUUAUGGGAUGUUGUAAAAUCCAUACUCGGAUAACUGUGGUAAUUCUAGAGCUAAUACGUGCAAUCAGUCUCCGACCCCGGCCCUCGCGGUCGGGGGAAGGGCGCAUUUGUUAGACCAAAAACCGGGUGGACAGUCGGGGCAAUCUCCGCUUCGCGCGGUUGCAUUCGUCCUCGUCCAUUCCUCUACGGUUAUGUGGUGACUCUGGAUAACUAUAGCCGAGCGCUGAGGUCUUAGUACCGGCGCCGUAUCCUUCAAGUGUCUGCCUUAUCAGCUCUCGAUUGUAGGUUAUUCGCCUACAAUGGCUGUAACGGGUAACGGGGAAUCAGGGUUCGAUUCCGGAGAGGGAGCCUGAGAAACGGCUACCACAUCUAAGGAAGGCAGCAGGCACGCAAAUUACCCAAUCCCGGCUCGGGGAGGUAGUGACGAAAAAUAACGAUGCGGGACUCUUCCGAGGCCUCGCAAUCGGAAUGAGUCCAAUUUAAAAACAUGGACGAGGAUCCAUUGGAGGGCAAGUCUGGUGCCAGCAGCCGCGGUAAUUCCAGCUCCAAUAGCGUAUAUUAAAGUUGCUGCGGUUAAAAAGCUCGUAGUUGGAUUUCUGAUGCGGACCGGGAGCCCAUCCAAGGCGCGCCCUCGUCUUUAGCGAGCGGCGUUCCCUGGGGUUCUUCCCGUGUCCCGGCAGCGGCCGACGGGGUGUCGGUGCGUCGCCGUCGCUGGCGUAGUAACCUCUAUCGCGGCUUCCUAGGCCGUCGUACGCGCCCCUCGCUAAGAGUGGGCGGUUUCGGCGUCUCUCCCGAUUAAGGGCGGGUUCGCGAAGGUCGGAUCAGCGGAGACCGAGCUCCCGUCGGGCAUUGAUCAAGGGCGGCGACGUUCAAAUUACCUUUCCAUUAAAGGGUUUGCCUCCGCUGCGGGUCGCCUCUCCCCGUAUCUCUUCUUCCGCAUCUCUCGCUCGUCCCCUCGCAAAAUAAAAUUCGGCUCGUUCGCAUUCCAAACCGUGGCGCUUACGCCGUCGGGCAGGUCUAUCACGACCGGUUCCGACGGGUCGGCGUUUCGGGCGGCGAGUUCGGACAGCGCAGGGGUCGUUAAAAAACGGGCGAUGAAGCUCUGCGGAACGAAGGUGCGGGUGACGCGAUCCGUGUACGCAAGGUUUUCCCGGAUUGCGUAAGUUCGUCGUUCCGGUUUGCUCGUUUCGGUCUCGGUUCUCUCCCGGCCUGCUCGCACCGUCCCGGGUGUUGCUCCGUCGUUGCCGCUUCGCUCGAGGGGAGCCUCUGCGGCGUCCACCUAGGUCUGAGAAAUGUUUCUUCUCGCCAGCGCGCGCGCGGCCAUCGCUCCUCUCUCGGGUAGAUCCCGCUGUUCGGGGCGAUAAAAAGCGGGAGGGUUAAAGCUCCUCGGCGGCGUUUUUGCUCCUGGCGGGUAAGCGCGCCCGGUGGUUCACUGCCCGGCUCCGUGUUUCGAACAGCCGUCGGCUCUCACGGGGUGCUCUUUACCGAGUGUCCCGCGUGGCCGGCAAGUUCACUUUGAAAAAAUUAGAGUGCUCAAAGCAGGCUAAAAUAUUUACGCCCGAAUGGUAGCGCAUGGAAUGAUGGAACAGGACCUCGGUCCUGCCUUUUUCAGCCCGGUUUUUCGGAACCGAGGUAAUGAUUAACGGGGACAGACGGGGGCAUUAGUAUUGCGGCGCGAGAGGUGAAAUUCUUGGACCGUCGCAAGACUAACUACUGCGAAAGCAUUUGCCAAGAAUGUUUUCCAUUAAUCAAGAACGAAAGUUAGAGGAUCGAAGGCGAUCAGAUACCGCCCUAGUUCUAACCAUAAACGAUGCCAACUGGCGAUCCGUCGGCGUCAUUCCCACGACUCGACGGGGAGCCCCCGGGAAACCAAAGUCUUUGGGUUCCGGGGGAAGUAUGGUUGCAAAGCUGAAACUUAAAGGAAUUGACGGAAGGGCACCACCAGGAGUGGAGCCUGCGGCUUAAUUUGACUCAACACGGGGAACCUCACCAGGCCCAGACACUGGAAGGAUUGACAGAUUGAGAGCUCUUUCUCGAUUCGGUGGUUGGUGGUGCAUGGCCGUUCUUAGUUGGUGGAGCGAUCUGUCUGGUUGAUUCCGAUAACGAACGAGACUCUACCCUGCUAACUAGUCGGCGGAUCGACUCCCAAGACGGGUUUCCUUCCGCGGGGUUUUCGGGCGAGGGUUGCCUCGGCCCGUCGUCGUUCCCUCGCGGCCUUACUGCGCGGUCGGGUACACGCUCUCGAUCCGUUUCCCGGGUGUUGGGCGGGUAGAGGGGAGGAGGUCUCGCGCCUUUCUCUUCCUCUCCUCCCUCCUCGGGGCGGUUUCGUUGUUGCGUCGUUCCGGCUCGUAGUAUCGUCCGCUUGGGGCUGAAGCGGCGGCGGUGUUCUUGGUCCUCGUCUUGCCUCGCGCGUUGGGGCUCUGCGAGGGGCGUUCGUCGCAAUAUCUUCUUAGAGGGAUCGGCGGCGUCCAGCCGCAAGAGAGAGAGCAAUAACAGGUCUGUGAUGCCCUUAGAUGUCCUGGGCCGCACGCGCGCUACAAUGUAGGGAUCAACGUGCUUUCCCCCUCCGAAAGGAGCGGGUAACCCGUUGAAACCCCUACUCGAUUGGGAUUGGGGAUUGUAAGUGUUUCCCAUGAACGAGGAAUUCCCAGUAAGCGCAAGUCAUCAGCUUGCGCUGAUUACGUCCCUGCCCUUUGUACACACCGCCCGUCGCUACUACCGAUUGAAUGAUUCAGUGAGGGCAUCGGACUGGCGCCUUCGGUAGCCGUCGGCUCGUAUUCCAAACUCCGCUUCGGCGGGGGCGGUCGCCGGCACCCUAGGCUGACGGAAAGAUGUCCGAACUUGAUUAUUUAGAGGAAGUAAAAGUCGUAACAAGGUUUCCGUAGGUGAACCUGGGAAGGAUCA